UCUAAGGAAGCCGUCCGCCAGACAUAUGAUGUUUUUCAUAGUCUCGGACCGCUUACUCAGAACAUACAGAGCCCGACACUUCGGUGUUAGGGACUCCUUGGCGAGUAGUCGCCGCCUUCGUUUCUCUUUCGUCUUGGACAAACGCUUCAGUUUGGGCCUGUAGCUCAGUUGGUUAGAGCGCACCCCUGAUAAGGGUGAGGUCGGUAGUUCAAAUCUACCCAGGCCCACCACGUGUGGUGCGCGGGCUCACUGAAGUGAGCUGUCUGGCGUUAUCCGUUUGGGGCCUUAGCUCAGCUGGGAGAGCGGUAGCUUUGCAAGCUUCAGGUCGUCGGUUCGAUCCCGACAGGCUCCACCAAGACAUCGGUGCAUUUGCACCGUAUUAGGAAUUCUGCGUCUCGCGGAGUGUGCCUGCCUGCUGGCGGGCUUAGAAGACAUGACAUCGUAAAGAGGAAAAUAUACCGAGUAUGGUCUAGCCGGCCGUGCCCACUCCAACGGGCAGCUUGGUAUGUUUUGAUACACUGGUCUUUCUGAACAAUGCCGUUUUGCUUGCAGCUCCUCUGCCGAGGGUGUUGCCGGUGGGCAUUGUUAAUGAGAGCAAUCAAGUGACCUAAGGGCAUCUGGUGAAUGCCUUGGUGGUAAGAGGCGAUGAAGGACGUGGUACGCUGCGAUAAGCUACGGGGAGGUGCGAACAGCCUUUGAUCCGUAGAUGUCCGAAUGGGGAAACCCGG
Molecule: unclassified non-coding RNA, 728 nt
Filed under: uncultured bacterium
Lineage: Bacteria
Description: partial contains 16S ribosomal RNA, 16S-23S ribosomal RNA intergenic spacer, and 23S ribosomal RNA
Rfam family: Bacterial large subunit ribosomal RNA (bases 597-728)
Source: RNAcentral